AUUGAACGCUGGCGGUGUGCCUAAUACAUGCAAGUCGAACGAGAAAGCCCUUCGGGGUUAGUAAAGUGGCGAACGGGUGAGUAACACGUGGGCAAUCUGCCCUUCGUUGGGGGACAACCGGGGGAAACCCCGGCUAAUACCCCGUAAGCUUGUCGGGUCGCAUGGCCUGACAAGGAGAGGUAGCUUCGGCCAUCCGGCGAAGGAGGAGCCCGCGGUACAUUAGCUAGUUGGUGAGGUAAAGGCCCACCAAGGCGACGAUGUAUAGCUGGUCUGAGGGGAAGAUCAGCCACACUGGGACUGAGACACGGCCCAGACUCCUACGGGAGGCAGCAGUCGGGAAUCUUGCACAAUGGGCGAAAGCCUGAUGCAGCAACGCCGUGUGAGCGACGAAGGCCCUAGGGUCGUAAAGCUCUGUUGUUAGGGACGAAGGGCGAAGGGUUAAUAGCCCUUAGCCUGUCGGUACCUUUCGAGGAAGCCCCGGCUAACUACGUGCCAGCCGCCGCGGUAA
This 508-nucleotide ribosomal RNA is filed under the name uncultured bacterium. Its description in RNAcentral is "partial 16S ribosomal RNA". It matches the Rfam family "Bacterial small subunit ribosomal RNA", at positions 29 to 523 of the family's 1533-position model. The record is from RNAcentral.